CUAUAACACAGCUUUCAAGGAUUUUCGAAAUGUAGCCAAUUGGAUAUGACGCCAUUUCCAAAAUGAUCGGUGGCCAUCUUGAAAAAAUGGAAAUUUUUGAUGGCCAGCACCUGAUUUUUUUUAAUUAUCAUUUAGUUAACCUUUAUGCCAAAUUUCAUGCUUGUAUCACGAUUUGCACAAUUAUGUCCAUAAUAUCUCCCAC
RNAcentral lists this long non-coding RNA (202 nucleotides) under Mytilus galloprovincialis (Mediterranean mussel). The record is from RNAcentral. Lineage: Eukaryota; Metazoa; Mollusca; Bivalvia; Mytilida; Mytilidae.